RNAcentral lists this ribosomal RNA (410 nucleotides) under Polyopes hakalauensis. RNAcentral's name for it is "bacterial LSU rRNA". It matches the Rfam family "Bacterial large subunit ribosomal RNA", at positions 2078 to 2485 of the family's 2925-position model. Lineage: Eukaryota; Rhodophyta; Florideophyceae; Halymeniales; Halymeniaceae. The record is from RNAcentral.
GGACAGAAAGACCCUAUGAAGCUUUACUGUAGCUUGGUAUUGAAUUUGGGUUUAUUUUGCGCAGUAUAGGUGGGAGGCUAAGAAUAUGAACUUGUGGGUUCCUAUGAGCCAUCAGUGAGAUACCACUCUAACUAAACUAGAAUUCUAACCUUGAUAGCCGUCAACCGGCCAAGGGACAGUUCCAGGUGGGCAGUUUGACUGGGGCGGUCGCCUCCUAAAAAGUAACGGAGGCGCGCAAAGGUUCCCUCAGACUGGUCGGAAAUCAGUUCUAGAGUGUAAAGGCAUAAGGGAGCCUGACUGCAAGACUUACAAGUCAAGCAGAGACGAAAGUCGGCCUUAGUGAUCCGACAGUGCUGAGUGGAAAGGCUGUCGCUCAACGGAUAAAAGUUACUCUAGGGAUAACAGGCUGA